CCGCCGGUAGCGUAGUGGUCAUUGCACCAGACUGGUAUUCUGGAUGUCGUGGGUUCGAAUCCCACCCGGUGGG
This 73-nucleotide transfer RNA is filed under the name Haemaphysalis longicornis (longhorned tick). It matches the Rfam family "tRNA". Rfam says of the family: Transfer RNA (tRNA) molecules are approximately 80 nucleotides in length. Their secondary structure includes four short double-helical elements and three loops (D, anti-codon, and T loops). Lineage: Eukaryota; Metazoa; Arthropoda; Arachnida; Ixodida; Ixodidae. The record is from Rfam by way of RNAcentral.